This 555-nucleotide long non-coding RNA is filed under the name Homo sapiens (human). Its description in RNAcentral is "non-protein coding lnc-GALR1-1:1". Lineage: Eukaryota; Metazoa; Chordata; Mammalia; Primates; Hominidae. The record is from RNAcentral.
AAAUUUUUGACUCUCAGGUAGUGGUGAUCGUUAUGGUAACCCAUGAACUCGGAUGAAUUUCGGGGCCUGCUGUGGGUUUUCUAUGGGACACCAUAUACCACAGUACUGUAUUUCAAAAUAUUGGAUAUUGAUUAUGAACACUGGAACUAUUUAUGUGUCAUCAUUCCAAAGACCAUUGUGAUCUAUGAAGCUCCUUUAUUUGCUGGCUAGAUUGUCCAAAAACAAGCUCACUUGUUUUUGGGCAAUCUAGCCAAGGUGUCACAUAAUGGAGAAAAAUGCAGAUGGUCCUGUGGCUGGUGUGAAUGAAGAAUGACCUGGGCCCAACAUAGAACUUUUCCAGUAUGGUCUCUGCAUGUGGGGAGCCAAACUCUAGAGAAGACAUCAGUGAACUGCUGAUUUGGAGUGACUGACACUUAUUCCUGAGAGUAGGUGAUUCUUCAGUAUCCAAAGAAAUGUAUCAAGUUUGUAUUAGAUGGAAUAUAGCUUACUUUGUUGCUGAAACAUUUUUUAGCACUGACUAUACUUGCAAAUGUAAGGCAUAGUACAUGAACAUGG